This 449-nucleotide ribosomal RNA is filed under the name uncultured bacterium. Its description in RNAcentral is "partial 16S ribosomal RNA". It matches the Rfam family "Bacterial small subunit ribosomal RNA", at positions 29 to 523 of the family's 1533-position model. The record is from RNAcentral.
AACGAACGCUGGCGGCAGGCUUAACACGUGCAAGUCGAACGCAUCCUUCGGGGUGAGUGGCAGACGGGUGAGUAACGCGUGGGAACGUGCCCUUCAGUUCGGGAUAACCCAGGGAAACUUGGGCUAAUACCGGAUACGUGCGAGAGCAGAAAGAUUUAUCGCUGAAGGAUCGGCCCGCGUCUGAUUAGCUAGUUGGUGGGGUAAUGGCCCACCAAGGCGACGAUCAGUAGCUGGUCUGAGAGGAUGAUCAGCCACUUUGGGACUGAGACACGGCCCAAACUCCUACGGGAGGCAGCAGUGGGGAAUAUUGGACAAUGGGCGCAAGCCUGAUCCAGCCAUGCCGCGUGAGUGAUGAAGGCCUUAGGGUUGUAAAGCUCUUUCGUCCGGGACGAUAAUGACGGUACCGGAAGAAGAAGCCCCGGCUAACUUCGUGCCAGCCGCCGCAGUAA